RNAcentral lists this transfer RNA (72 nucleotides) under Caudoviricetes sp. Its description in RNAcentral is "tRNA-Thr". It matches the Rfam family "tRNA". From Rfam's summary of the family: Transfer RNA (tRNA) molecules are approximately 80 nucleotides in length. Their secondary structure includes four short double-helical elements and three loops (D, anti-codon, and T loops). Lineage: Duplodnaviria; Heunggongvirae; Uroviricota; Caudoviricetes. The record is from RNAcentral.
GCUUUCUUAGUUUAACUGGUAAAAUGGUAGUCUUGUAAACUAUAGUAGUAAGUUCAAGUCUUACAGAAAGCA